UAGGGAAUCUUCGGCAAUGGACGGAAGUCUGACCGAGCAACUCCGCGUGAGUGAAGAAGGUUUUCGGAUCGUUAAGCUCUGUUGUUAGAGAAGAACGUUGGUAGGAGUGGAAAAUCUACCAAGUGACGGUAACUAACCAGAAAGGGACGGCUAACUACGUGCCAGCAGCCGCGGUAAUACGUAGGUCCCGAGCGUUGUCCGGAUUUAUUGGGCGUAAAGCGAGCGCAGGCGGUUCUUUAAGUCUGAAGUUAAAGGCAGUGGCUUAACCAUUGUACGCUUUGGAAACUGGAGGACUUGAGUGCAGAAGGGGAGGGUGGAAUUCCAUGUGUAGCGGUGAAUUGCGUAGUAAUAUGGAGGAACACCGGUGGCAAAAGCGGCUCUCUGGUCUGUAACUGACGCUGAGGCUCAAAAGCGUGGGGAGCAAACAGG
This 429-nucleotide ribosomal RNA is filed under the name Bacillota bacterium. Its description in RNAcentral is "Firmicutes bacterium partial 16S ribosomal RNA". It matches the Rfam family "Bacterial small subunit ribosomal RNA", at positions 355 to 776 of the family's 1533-position model. The record is from RNAcentral. Lineage: Bacteria; Bacillati; Bacillota.